CACGUAGGGGGCAAGCGUUAUCCGGAUUUACUGGGUGUAAAGGGAGCGCAGACGGCAGUGCAAGUCUGGAGUGAAAGCCCGGGGCCCAACCCCGGAACUGCUCUGGAAACUGUGUGGCUAGAGUACUGGAGGGGCAGGCGGAAUUCCUAGUGUAGCGGUGAAAUGCGUAGAUAUUAGGAGGAACACCAGUGGCGAAGGCGGCCUGCUGGACAGUAACUGACGUUGAGGCUCGAAAGCGUGGGGAGCAAACAGG
This 253-nucleotide ribosomal RNA is filed under the name uncultured bacterium. RNAcentral describes it as "partial 16S ribosomal RNA". It matches the Rfam family "Bacterial small subunit ribosomal RNA", at positions 524 to 776 of the family's 1533-position model. The record is from RNAcentral.